Molecule: long non-coding RNA, 373 nt
Organism: Hemicordylus capensis (graceful crag lizard)
Lineage: Eukaryota; Metazoa; Chordata; Lepidosauria; Squamata; Cordylidae
Exons: 2
Source: RefSeq, a predicted model, not a curated record
GUCAGUAUUGGUUUGCAGGGUCUGACAGGCCUUGGAAAGGAGGAUUUCAAAAUCUUCAUGUUUGAAGAGCUUGGGUAUAAAAGCAGCUGGAAAACAGAGAAGGAAAGUACAAGAGCAGGCGAGGACUAAAGAAAACGGGAGAGAAAGCAACACGGAAGCAAAAGAGAGAGAGAGAUGCUGGCAAAACGCUGAGAAAAGCUGGAGCUCUUUCAAGGUCCUGUGCAAGGGAGCAAGGCAGGACAGGAACUGGGAGGAGCUUGACUGGGGCAUCUUGGGAUGGCUUCUAAUCUGCACAAAGAGUCCUGUCUAUUGGGAGCAAAUGGAUGUGACAACCCAUAGUAAAGGAUACCUUCCUACACUGGGGAAGAAUGAA